AGGCAGCCUGCUAAAGGCAUACUCAGAACCAGCUCAACUGUUUUCUUUGGGAAUUCCUCUCAGCAUCCUCUCACCUCCAUAGAAUGAAUUAUCGUCGUCAUUCAUUUUCCCAUAGAAUCUGUUUACCUUAUUUAUCAUUUUUGUUUCACUGCCUGUUUCUGCGUUCAUCACCGCACCAUGGUAUUAAAGCAAGACUGCUCAUGAAUCAACUUGUAAUUUCGACCAUGGAAGCAUUAUCCAAGCACCGGAGACCAUGCUCUCUUCAACUUCAAACUGCAGUCAAGUGGAGUAAAUAAUGCAGAGAGCUAAAUUAACUCAAAGCACCAAUGAUCAUGGAAUAACAUUCCUCUGUUUACUGUUCAAGAAAAAUCUUUACAAAUGCUGAAAUGCUGUUAGAAAAUCUAUAGUUAUAUUAUUAUCAUCAUAAAACUAAGAAUUAACCUAUCUUUAUUCUCCUCUGAAAUCUCCUUUCAAGAAAUAAAAACAGCAGGUAGAAGAUACCUUCAAAAUGGAAGAAGCCUUAUGCUAUUUCAUCUAUUUGUCUUUCUUUGGGUUAAACUCCAGAAACCCGGCUUGGUGCUUGUUCACUGUCCACACAAUAGUAAAUGAUCCCAGGAGAAUAAGUACAUGAUCAAUUCCUCAGUGUCUCUGGCAAUAUAAGAGUUUAAAAACAUGUGUACAUGUGCCUGUGCAUACAACAAUACACAUAUAAAUCACGGAUUUUUGCUGAAAUGAAAUACUGAGGCCAUGUGAGCAUUUUUCAGUCUUCAACUUAGACACUUGGGCUGCAUGCCCAGCUAUGACACAUCGUCCAUGUUUAUGAAGUCAAUUUCACUUCAGUUGUUAGUAUCAGUUACCAUCAUUCUGGAUUUAAAGCCACCAGCCCAGAGCCUUUCUCUGAGCUCUCACAGAUUCUAGUAGCUGUAGCAGGCAUGUGACACUUCUGUGCACACUGUCUCAUCUUGUUCCUGGGCCAUCUGUUUGAACAAGGCCUUUUCUCUUCAUUUUAUUAUAAAUUCUUGAAUCCAGGAAGCAUGUCUGAUAUUUCUCAGAAUCCUUUUUAAUGUCUACCCCAGAAGUCUGUUCUAACAAGUACUCC
This 1099-nucleotide long non-coding RNA is filed under the name Homo sapiens (human). RNAcentral's name for it is "HSALNT0273165". Lineage: Eukaryota; Metazoa; Chordata; Mammalia; Primates; Hominidae. The record is from RNAcentral.